This 435-nucleotide ribosomal RNA is filed under the name uncultured Roseburia sp. RNAcentral's name for it is "partial 16S ribosomal RNA". It matches the Rfam family "Bacterial small subunit ribosomal RNA", at positions 341 to 792 of the family's 1533-position model. The record is from RNAcentral. Lineage: Bacteria; Bacillati; Bacillota; Clostridia; Lachnospirales; Lachnospiraceae.
ACGGAAGGCAGCAGUGGGGAAUAUUGCACAAUGGGGGAAACCCUGAUGCAGCAACGCCGCGUGAGUGAAGAAGUAUCUCGGUAUGUAAAGCUCUAUCAGCAGGGAAGAAAAAAGACGGUACCUGACUAAGAAGCACCGGCUAAAUACGUGCCAGCAGCCGCGGUGAUACGUAUGGUGCAAGCGUUAUCCGGAUUUACUGGGUGUAAAGGGAGCGCAGGCGGUACGGCAAGUCUGAUGUGAAAGCCCGGGGCUCAACCCCGGUACUGCAUUGGAAACUGUCGAACUAGAGUGUCGGAGGGGUAAGCGGAAUUCCUAGUGUAGCGGUGAAAUGCGUAGAUAUUAGGAGGAACACCAGUGGCGAAGGCGGCUUACUGGACGAUAACUGACGCUGAGGCUCGAAAGCGUGGGGAGCAAACAGGAUUAGAUACCCUGGUA